GGUCUGACGUCCUAGAGAUAGGGCUUCCCUUCGGGGCAGAGGUGACAGGUGGUGCAUGGUUGUCGUCAGCUCGUGUCGUGAGAUGUUGGGUUAAGUCCCGCAACGAGCGCAACCCUUAACUUUAGUUGCCAGCAUUGAGUUGGGCACUCUAGAGUGACUGCCGGUGACAAACCGGAGGAAGGUGGGGAUGACGUCAAAUCAUCAUGCCCCUUAUGACCUGGGCUACACACGUACUACAAUGGCUGGUACAACGGGAAGCGAAGCCGCGAGGCGGAGCGAAUCCUAAAAAGCCAGUCUCAGUUCGGAUUGCAGGCUGCAACUCGCCUGCAUGAAGUCGGAAUUGCUAGUAAUCGCGGAUCAGCAUGCCGCGGUGAAUACGUUCCCGGGUCUUGUACACACCGCCCGUCACACCACGAGAGUUUACAACACCCGAAGUCGGUGGGGUAACCGCAAGGAGCCAGCCGCCGAAGGUGGGGUAGAUGAUUGGGGUGAAGUCGUAACAGGGUAAGCCGUA
This 514-nucleotide ribosomal RNA is filed under the name bacterium PH-EB028. RNAcentral's name for it is "bacterial SSU rRNA". It matches the Rfam family "Bacterial small subunit ribosomal RNA", at positions 989 to 1504 of the family's 1533-position model. The record is from RNAcentral.